RNAcentral lists this ribosomal RNA (465 nucleotides) under uncultured bacterium. Its description in RNAcentral is "partial 16S ribosomal RNA". It matches the Rfam family "Bacterial small subunit ribosomal RNA", at positions 338 to 795 of the family's 1533-position model. The record is from RNAcentral.
CCUACGGGCGGCAGCAGUAGGGAAUCUUCCACAAUGGGCGAAAGCCUGAUGGAGCAACGCCGCGUGGGUGAAGAAGGUCUUCGGAUCGUAAAACCCUGUUGUUAGAGAAGAAAGUGCGUGAGCGUAACUGUUCACGUUUCGACGGUAUCUAACCAGCAAGCCACGGCUAACUACGUGCCAGCAGCCGCGGUAAUACGUAGGUGGCAAGCGUUAUCCGGAUUUAUUGGGGGUAAAGGGAGCGCAGGCGGUCUUUUAAGUCUGAUGUGAAAGGCUUGGGCUUAACCGGAGUAGUGCAUUGGAAACUGGAAGACUUGAGUGCAGAAGAGGAGAGUGGAACUCCAUGUGUAGCGGUGAAAUGCGUAGAUAUAUGGAAGAACACCAGUGGCGAAAGCGGCUCUCUGGUCUGUAACUGACGCUGAGGCUCGAAAGCGUGGGUAGCAAACAGGAUUAGAUACCCGUGUAGUC